UUUAAUAUGGCAGAAUAGUGCAUUAGAUUUAAGCUCUAAAUAAGAAGAAUUAACAACUUCUAUUAAAA
Molecule: transfer RNA, 68 nt
Filed under: Phyllomimus sinicus
Lineage: Eukaryota; Metazoa; Arthropoda; Insecta; Orthoptera; Tettigoniidae
Description: tRNA-Leu
Rfam family: tRNA
About the family: Transfer RNA (tRNA) molecules are approximately 80 nucleotides in length. Their secondary structure includes four short double-helical elements and three loops (D, anti-codon, and T loops).
Source: RNAcentral